ACUUUAGCCAAGAAACAUGUGUAUGUCUAAACAAUUAAAGGGUGGGGGACUCCUCCAAACAUCGCCUACAACAAGGAUUAAAGCAUGUGGCUUAAUUUUUAAUCAGCUGCCUUGUUAGACAUGGGCUAUCAGCAAAGUGGUAUAAACAUAGAACGGGGUUUGGCCGUUGUCAUCCAAUGGGGGAAGGGAGUAAAUAUUUUCUUUUUCUUUUAGGGUUACUCUGCCUCGUCCCUUCUGAGGUGGAUCGAUGUGCAUUAUAAAGAAACUUGCCCUCACUUUCCGCAGAAAAGGAGUCUGGUGGAGGGCAUCUGAAGACGCCUGCAUGAGAGUCAAAAUGAGUUUUGAAUGGCCUCCGAGUUGGCGGCCAACCUCCUGAAAUCAUAUUGUCUGAAGUCCCUUGGAGUUUCUUUUCUGAGGACAACAACGGCAGUCUAUUUAUUGGUUGCAGUUGCUAUGAAGUGACCGUCCUCAGAAGUGAGGCUGUUGCCCUUAGCUACACAUUUCUUUGUGGGCAUAAUCUUGUAUCACAGAGUACCAAAUCAGCAGCUGGGCAAGGCAGAGACCCUGAUGAAAUAUGAAUAUGAUGACGAUGAAGUACUUUCCUAGUGCUAGCCUCCUUUUAUAGGCUAUGUUGUGGUUAAUGCAGCUUGGAAAUGACACAUGACCUUUUCAAAAGAAAGGGCUCGCUUUAUUUGAACACUGUCCUCUUCCCUCUCAGACGCAGCUAGUUGCCUGGCCUGGGGUCACCACCGGAACCUCCUGGAGACCUGCCCUGCGGAGGACGCCCUUCCAGCACAGGAGAGCUCGCCACUUGGGAGCGGCGGCGCCCAGUUGGCGCCCACCCCGGGGCACACUGCAGUCAAUGCCUGGCAGCGACUUCUCGUUUCGCCCUCCGCCUCCCCCAUCGACCCUCUCCGGCCGACCUUUACGCCCAACUCGGGCGCGCUGCGAGCCUCGCGUCCUCGCCGUCCACGCGGGGCCCCACCCCUUCCCGGUUCCAGC
This 1002-nucleotide long non-coding RNA is filed under the name Ursus maritimus (polar bear). Its description in RNAcentral is "lncRNA (ENSUMAG00000000199.1)". Lineage: Eukaryota; Metazoa; Chordata; Mammalia; Carnivora; Ursidae. The record is from RNAcentral.